Mandrillus leucophaeus (drill) is the source of this 6273-nucleotide long non-coding RNA. RefSeq lists it as uncharacterized. The record is from RefSeq and is a predicted model, not a curated record. The transcript has 8 exons. Lineage: Eukaryota; Metazoa; Chordata; Mammalia; Primates; Cercopithecidae.
AAGGAAGCCUCCUCUGCCCCACCCUACCUACCUGUAAUCUUCCUUUUCCUACCAGCAGGGAGUGCUCACUCCAUAAGACCCUUAUAUUUGGACAAUCAAGGUGCACAAUUGUAAGUGACCACAACCAUGCAUCUUGGAAAUUGAUGUGCAUAACUGCACACGGCUUAUCCUAUUUGAAUAAGGUCCUGCUCUCAGACUCCCUUUGCAGUAUAGCUGGGGUGCUGAUCACUAAGGCCUCUUUUCUUGGCUUGUCUGUAUUCUUGUGUACUAGCCAAGGAUACCUUCUCAUGGACUCCCUUUGCUUUUCAAGAAGGAGUACCCACUACUUUAAGAUUCUUAUAUUUGUCCAAAGUACAUGGUUUUAAUGGACCACAACAAUGUCCCUUGGACGUUAAUGUAUAUAAUCACCACAUGGUUCAUCCUGAAUAAACAAGGUCCUACCCUCUCACCCUCCAUUUGCAGUAUACCAGGGUUGCUGACCCCUAAGUCCCCUUUUCUUGGCUUAUUGACAUGCAUAAUUGCAUUUAUGUGGGUUCUUGUGCCCUAGACAAGGAUGCCCCACCUCUUUUCAAUAGUGGGUGCCCACUCCUUAUGAUCUUCACAUUUGAACAGUUAAUGGGAAUAAUUGCAGUUGUCCACAACCCUAUCACUUCUAGGACCAUUGCACCUCUUUUGCAUUACUGUGGGAUAUACUGCUUGCCUGCAAGGCCCUUUCUGGUGGACUAUCAACAUACAUAAUUGAAAUUUUCUUUUGUGUUUGUCAGUAGAUUAAAGUCAUACCCCAUCACCUUUCCUUUGUAGUACAGCAGGGUGUCCCGAUCAACCAAAGUCCUGUUAUUUUGGACUGUUAAUAUGCGCAAUUACAUUUGCUCCUGGUCUGUGCACUAGACAAGGAUCCUACGUACUUUCUUAGCGUUUUUAGCAGGUAGUGCCCACUACUCAAGACUCUUUCACUUGGAAUGUUCAUGUGCACAAACACAAUUCUCUAAGCAUGUUCCUGUACCACCUUUGCUUUAGAGCAGGGGGAUGAUAUUCACUUAGUGCCCCUUCUCUUGGACUUAAUAUGCAUUAAUGCAAUUGUCUACCUCUUCUUUUAGACUAAGACUUGAUCUCCACAUACUCCCCUUGCAUCAGGGGCAUGUUAAUUAUGAAUGAACCCUUUUAAUAUUAAUGUCACAAUUUUAUUUGUGGACCUGUGUAGUAGAAAAAGACCCUAUGUUCCUUCUACUACCCUUUGGAUUGCUGCUGAAAAGUGCUAACUACUCAUAAUCUCAGCUCUUGGACAAUUAAUAUGCAUUAAUAACAAUUAUCAAGGGCACUGAUCAUUAGAUAAGACUCCUGCCUCCUCAUGCAUACAUCAGGGGUACUGAACCACUAAGGCCCCUUUUACUGUUAAUGUGAAUAUUUGCAAUUAUACAUGUCUCCUUCUGUUAGAGUGGGAUAUUAUGCCUUAGUAUCCCCUUUGCAUUACUGCAGGGGCUGCCGACUACUCAAAACUUCUCCUGGGACUGUUAAUAGGUACAAUGGCAGUUAUCAAUGGUUUUUUUCCCUCACUGAUCUUGUUAAGCACCCCACCCCACUCUUAGUUUCCCAUGGCAUAAUAAAGUAUAAGCAUUGGAAUAUUCCAUGCACUUGUCCAUCAAACAGUGGACCAUACUCCCACCCCUUUUGCAUUGCACCAGUGUGUAAAGUCACAGUUAGCCAUGGUGUCAUGCUUUAUGUACGAAGUCUUCCCUCUCUGCCCCUUGUGUGCCCUUGGCCCCUUUUUACAGACUAUUACUCACAAUCUUAGGUAUCCAUAUAUCCAGAUAUUAGAUAAGAUUAUGCUCUCCCUCCUCCCUUCCCCCUGCCCUGCCCCAUUUGCCUCUUUGCUGGGUAAUCUUGACUGGACAAGACCCUUUCUCUUGGACUUAAAAAAUACUCAGUUGCACUUUCCUUGGUCCCACCCAUUAUACAUGAACCCGUCUACUUCCUUUUGCAUUACUUCUGAGUAUGCUGGCCACCCAAAGCCCCUUCUGUGUUCUUAAUGAACACAGUACUGAUUGUCCCAUUUUUUCAGCCCAUCAGUCCAAGAUCUCCCUACCACUUUGGUGUGUUUGUGCAGUGUUGACUAUGAAAAGCAGGCCUGAACUAGGUGGAUAAGCCUUCAUUCAUUUUCUUUCAUUUAUUAAUGAUCCCAGUUUCAAUUAUUGUCAGAUUCUGGGAACAAGAACCAUUCUUGCCCACCUCUGUUACUGCUUUACUGUGCAAAAUACUCAAGGCAAGUCAGACCCAGGGAGCUGGAUUGCCAUCCUUUAUUUUGUGUUUCCAGUAUACACUAUCAAAUUGUCUCCCCAGGAAGGAAGGUUGGCACUUUUUCUGCAUUCUUCUUUCCAGAGCAGAUUGUCUGGUUAAGAAUCUCUUGUUGUCCCCUUUGUAUAUUGUUAUUGUAAAGUGCCAAAUGCCAGGAUACAGCCAGAAAAAUUGCUGUUAUUAUUAUUAAAAAAAAUUUUUUAAGAAAGACAUCUGGAUUGUAGACUGGACUCAGUAACCUGGUCAUUAUUUUUUUGAAGCCAAAAAAUCCGUUUAUACUAUGUACCUGAUGACCAGUGUCUCAUUUUAACUGAGGGUGGUGGGUCUGUGGAUAGAACACUGACUCUUGCUAUUUUAAUAUUAUCAAAGGCGUUCUGGAACGGAACUCUUAAGACCAGUGUCUUUGUGUGGGCUUUACCAGGAUUCAUUUUUAGAAAAACUACCUAAAUUUUAUAAACCUUAAAUUUCUUCAUCUGGAGCACCUGCCCCUACUUAUUUCAAGAAGAUUGCAGUAAAACGAUUAAAUGAGGGAACAUAUGCAGAGGUGCUUUUAAAAAGCAUAUGCCACCUUUUUAAUUAAUUUGUCUAUUAUAUAAAAUGAAGCAUUUAAUUAUACUAAUAAUUUGAAGUAGUUCGAAGUACCGCACUGAGGUGAGGACUUAAAAAUGAUAAGACCAGUUUCCUAUUUUAUAAGAAAAAUAAGCCAAAAUUAAAUAUUCUUUUGGAUAUAAAUUUCAACAGUGAGAUAGCUGCCUAGUGGAAAUGAAUAAUAUCCCAGCCACUAGUGUACAGGGUGUUUUGUGGCAAAGGAGUAUGUAACAUGGAACUGCUCAAGCAAAUAACUAGUCAUCACAACAGCAGUUCUUUGUAAUAACUGAAAAAGAAUAUUGUUUCUCUGAGAAGGAUGUCAAAAGAUCGGCCCAGCUCAGGGAGCAGUUUGCCCUACUAGCUCCUCGGACAGCUGUAAGAAGAGUCUCUGGCUCUUUAGAAUACUGAUUCCACUGAAGAUACCAUGCUGCAUGUGUCCUUAGUAGUCGUGUCUCCUUAGGCUCCUCUUGGACAUUCUGAGCAUGUGAGACCCGAGGACUGCAAACAGCUGCAAGAGGCUUCAAAUUCAGCAUAUCGUUCCUUUUGAGAAUCUGGCCAAGCUCCAGCAAAUCUACUUGGAUGGGUUGCCAGCCACCUGGAGAAAAAGAUCUUCCUCAGAAGAACAGGCUUGUUGCUUUACAGUGUUAGUGAUCCAUUCCCUUUGACGAUCCCUAGGUGGAGAUGGGGCAUGAGGAUCCUCCAGGGGAAAAGCUCACUACCACUGGGCAACAACCCUAGGUCAGGAGGUUCUGUCAGGAUACUUUCCUGGUCCCAGAUAGGAAGAUAAAGUCUCAAAAACAACCACCACACGUCAAGCUCUUCAUUGUUCCUAUCUGCCAAAUCAUUACACUUCCUACAAGCAGUGCAGAGAACUGAGUCUUCAGCAGGUCCAAGAAAUUUGAACACAUUGAAGGAGGUCAGCCUUCCUACCUGAAGAUCAACAUGCUUGGCACUCUAGCACUUUAGGAUAGCCGAAUGAAUGUGUAUUUCUUUGUCUCUUUCUUCCUUGUCUUUGCUCUUUGUUCUCUAUCUAAAGUGUGUCUUACCCAUUUCCAUCUUUCUCUUGCUAAUUUCUUUCGUGUGUGCCUUUGCCUCAUUUUCUCUUUUUGUUCACAAGACUGGUCUGUGCCUUAUCUUAGACGUGUCUCUCAUUUUUCCUUUUGUUGCUGUUUCUCUUUGCUCUCCUAGAUGUGGCUCUUCUUUCACGCUUUAUUUCAUGUCUCCUUUUUGGGUCACAUGUGUGUGCUUUUUGUCCUUCUUUUGUUCUGUCUACUUCUCCUUUCUCUGCCUACCUCUCUUUUCUCUUUGUGAACUGUGAUUAUUUGUUACCCCUUCCCCUUCUUGUUCGUUUUAAAUUUCACCUUUUUUCUGAGUCUGGCCUCCUUUCUGCUGUUUCUACUUUUUAUCUCACAUUUCUCAUUUCUACAUUUCCUUUCUGCCUCUCUUGGGCUAUUUUCUCUCUUUUUCCUCCCCUGUGUGCCUCAGCAUCUCUUGCUGUUUGUGAUUUUCUAUUUCAGUAUUAAUCUCUGUUGGCUUGUGUUUCUUCUCUGCUUCUUCCCUUUCUACUCACCUUUGAGUAUUUCAGCCUCUUCAUGAAUCUAUCUCCCUCUCUUUGAUUUCAUGUAAUCUUCUCUCCUUAAAUAUUUCUUUGCAUAUGUGGGCAUGUGUACGUGUGUGUGUCAUGUGUGGCAGAGGGGCUUCUUAACCCCUGCCUGAUAGGUGCAGAACGUCGGCUAUCAGAAUGAGCAUUGUGGAGCGGUUCCUUAUGCCAGGCUGCCAUGUGAGAUGAUCCAAGACCAAAACAAGGCCCUAGAGUCUAGACUGCAGUAAAACCCAAUACUCAAGUAGGACAGAAGGUGGAAGGCUCAUAUGGAUAAAAGGCCCAAAGUAGAAGACAGAUGGUUUGAGACUCGAGACCCGAGGACUAAGAUGGAAAGCCCAUGUUCCAAGAUAGAUAGAAGCCUCAGGCCUGAAACGAACAAAAGCCUCAAGAGCCAAGAAAACAGGGUGGUCUGAAUUGGACAGAAGGCCUGAGUUGGAUGGAAGUCUCAAGUCUUGAGUUUGAAGUCUUAAGACCUGGGACAGGACACAUGGAAGGCCUAAGAACUGAGACUUGUGACACAAGGCCAAAGACCUAAGAUUAGCCCGGGGUUGUAGUUGGAAGACCUACAACCCAAGGAUGGAAGGCCUCUGUCACAAACCCUACCUAUAUGGAUAGAGGACCCAAGUGAAACAGAUAUCUCAAGACUAAAGGCCGGAAUCUGGAGGUCCAUGACCUAGAACCCAGGAAGGAUGGAAGCUUGAAGACCUGGGGAAAUCCCAAGAUGAGAACCCUAAACCCCACCUCUUUUCUAUUGUUUACACUUCUUACUCUUACAUAUUUCCAGUUCUCCUGUUUCUCUUUAAGCCUGAUUCUUUUGAGAUGUACUUUUUGAUGUUGCCAGUUACCUUAAAGGAACAUAUCUUUAGAUUGACAGUAUUAUGCCUGGGCCAGUCUUGAGCCAGCUUUAAAUCACAGCUUUUACCUAUUUGUUAGGCUUUAGUGUUUUGUAAACUUCUGUUUCUAUUCACAUCUACUCCACUUGAGAGAGAGACCAGAAUCCAGUCAGUAUCUAAUCUGGAUUUUGUUAUUCCCCUCAGGAGCAAACAUUCAUAUAGGUGAUACUGUAUUUCAGUCCUCUCUUUUAACCCCAGAAUUCCUAGACUGAGAAGAUAAAAUGGUCAGGUUGUUGGGGGAAAAAAAGUGCUAGGCCCUCUAGAGAAAAAUGUGAAGAGAUGCUGCAGGCCAAUGAGAAGAAUUAGACAAGAAAUACACAGAUGUGCCAGACUUCUGAGAAGCACCUGCCAGCAACAGCUUCCUUCUUUGAGCUUAGCCCAUCCCUCAUGAAAAAUGACUGACCACUGCUGGGCAGCAGGAGGGAUGAUGACUAAUUCCCAAACCCCAGUCUCAUUGGUACCAGCCUUGGGGAACCACCCAUACUUGAGCCACAAUUGGUUUUGAAGUGCAUUUACAAGUUUCUGGCGUCACUACCACUACUGAUUAAACAAGAAUAAGAGAACAUUUUAUCAUCAUCUGCUUUAUUCACAUAAAUGAAGUGAUGAAUAAAUCUGCUUUUAUGCAGACACAAGGAAUUAAGUGGCUUCGUCAUUGCCCUUCUACCUCAAAGAGAAUUUAUCCCAAAAUGCUAAGAUAAAUGGAAGACUCUUGAACUUGUGAACUGAUGUGAAAUGCAGAAUCUCUUUUGAGUCUUUGCUGUUUUGAAGAUUGAAAAAUAUUGUUCAGCAUGGGUGACCACCAAAAAGUAAUCUUAAGCCAUCUAGAUGUCACAAUUGAAACAAACUGGGGAGUUGGGUUGCUAUUGUAAAAUAAAAUAUACUGCUUUGAAAACUUUG